Molecule: long non-coding RNA, 2575 nt
Filed under: Zea mays
Lineage: Eukaryota; Viridiplantae; Streptophyta; Magnoliopsida; Poales; Poaceae
Description: long non-coding RNA (ZMAY_LNC004310)
Source: RNAcentral
UUCCAUACCCUUCCGUAUAUUGUUGUUUCCUGUACUGCAGCUUGAAUGUGAAGAUUCACUUUUGCAAACAUGAACUAUACCCAUCUCUGCUACGAGCAGACAGACAUGGCGACGUGCCGAGGCAACCUUUGCUGCUGUGGCAACAAAGACAGGGUAGGACUGAAUAACAAUUAAACGUACAUGAGUGUAUUGACUACCUAGUAAAGCAGAAUUCAAACAAGACAAACCAGGUAUAUAAUACAAUUUGCUUGCCCAUAUCGAUGUGUCAACAAAUUUUCAAAUCUGUAACAUAGUCUAAAACUGUUCAACAAUCUAGCGAAAGAUAGAUACAGAAUCACCUAAAUAGAAAAGCAUAUAAUGCAGGGCCCAAUACAAUUACACAGAAAAGAAACUCCAAACAAUCACCUUAAUCCUUGCUGAUUUUUGGACAGCAGAACAACAACUAUUCGUUUAGCUCAUAACUCACAAGAUAUUCAUGCAAAAAUAGUAAACUAGGACUUUAUAAAAAGCUUAUAAAGUCUUCUACAUCUUUUGUAUUACAAUCAGAACAAGGUUCGACCUUUAGAAAGGUCAAACAGUGCUAAACAUAAAUUCUGUCCAGAUUUGGACAGAAUUCGACUACUUACUUCAAAAAUCCAUAACUGGAGUUUCAGGCAUCCAAAUCAGGUGAUCCUAGACUUUUUAGAAAGCUAAUAUAAUUGUCUACAAUUCAUUUAUAAACAUCCCAGGUUAAUUCAAUAUAUAUCAAGGUCAGAAAACAUGAGAAAGACUCUGCUGUUCAAAUUUGGACAGAUUCAGAGAUCACACUUCAAACAGCUGUCACUUAACUUAUAGAUCACCAAAAAGGGUGAUCCAAGACUUUUUGGAAAGCUUAAAAAAGUACUACAAUUAUUCUAUAAUUACUAAGGGUUGAUUCUCAGUUUAGCUUAGCCAAACAGUACAAUUUUUGAAACCUGUACAGAAUUUGGACAGAUUCUAAAACAGGACUUAAGAAAAUCAUAACUCCUAAACUACUAAACCUAUGAUCAUGAAAUUUUUACACAAGUAAGAUAAAGAAGUUACCUACAACUUUUCUAUAUAACAUUUCUACAGAAAACAUGGUUUACUUCAUUGAACUAGCUCCUUACGAAACUGGACAUGCAGUCCCAAACAGCAAGCGUUCCAUUUAGCUCCUAUUUGGUUUUUACAAUUAUCAUGUGCUUGACACUUUCUAAUCGCAUAUAUAGAUUUCUGCUAUUUUAUAACCAUGAAUCCAUUUACUUCACAUAAUCUAGUAUUUUGAACCUACUCUGACAUUAUGCAAACAAAGAAUCAAUUUAAGUACACUAUGCAUACACAUAUAUUCAUCCAAGCACAUUCCAUACAAUAUCAUCACCAAGAACUCAUUUUUAUUACACUAUGCAUAUAAAGUCGCUCUCUCUAUUCACCAAAUAUAUGACAUACAACAUACCAUCACAAGGACAAAAGAGAAAAGAGAGAAACAAGCAUUCCCUGACAACAACCCAUAUUCGCCUAGAACCUUUGAUUAAUCAACAUGAUAGAAGAUAAUGAUGACUAAGACUGAUCUUCAGCUUCAUAAAAUAAUUGGCUAAUUUACUUGCAAUAACACUACCUCCCUUGUGCAGUCCUCGGCACAACACUACACUAUAUGCCUAUCAAGAGUAUUCAUCCCAUAAUCAUGUAAUAACCCAUCUAAUAUUAUAUCAAAUCAUACAUCUACCUAUCAAACACGCAUAUAACCAUAUUACGACAUAUAAGGAGUCAUUUCAUCAGAAAUUCAUAUCGAAGCUAAUCCUAACAACACUCCGAAACAUAAAAGACAUACCACUUAAUUCAAACAAGACAAACCAGGUAUAUAAUACAAUUUGCUUGCCCAUAUCGAUGUGUCAAUAAAUUUUUAAAUCUGUAACAUAGUCUAAAACUGUUCAACAAUCUAGCGAAAGAUAGAUACAGAAUCACCUAAAUAGAAAAGCAUAUAAUGCAGGGCCCAAUACAAUUACACAGAAAAGAAACUCCAAACAAUCACCUUAAUCCUUGCUGAUUUUUGGACAGCAGAACAACAACUAUUCGUUUAGCUCAUAACUCACAAGAUAUUCAUGCAAAAAUAGUAAACUAGGACUUUAUGGAAAGCUUAUAAAGUCUUCUACAUCUUUUGUAUUACAAUCAGAACAAGAUUCGACCUUUAGAAAGGUUAAACAGUGCUAAACAUAAAUUCUGUCCAGAUUUGGACAGAAUUCGACUACUUACUUCAAAAAUCCAUAACUGGAGUUUCAGGCAUCCAAAUCAGGUUAUCCUAGACUUUUUAGAAAGCUAAUAUAAUUGUCUACAAUUCAUUUAUAAACAUCCCAGGUUAAUUCAAUAUAUAUCAAGGUCAGAAAACAUGAGAAAGACUCUGCUGUUCAAAUUUGGACAGAUUCAGAGAUCGCACUUCAAACAGCUGUCACUUAACUUAUAGAUCACCAAAAAGGGUGAUCCAAGACUUUUUGGAAAGCUUAAAAAAAGUACUACAAUUAUUCUAUAAUUACUAAGGGUUGAUUCUCAGUUUAGCUUAGCCAAACAGUACAAUUUUUGAAAC